GUUGACUAAGAUGUAAACAGCAGCUGAACCACCUAAAGGUGACAUGACAACAGAAAGCAGGCAGUUUCCUGUGCAAUAUGACCACCAAACAGUUGUGUGUUCUUGAAAUGAUUCUCUUAUACAUAGGUAGCAGUUGCUACAUUGUCCAAAUCUUCACAAUAUCCCACUUGUGAUGAAAAAAGAAGAACCAUUGCAAAGCCACAUAUGAACCUCAUGACCCAUUACAAGAGCAGAUCUUGAACCAUCUCUCUCUCCCUCUCUACACACACACACACACACACACAUACAUAUGUGUGUGUGUGUGUGUAUCAUAUGUAUAUAUAAGUAUAUGUAUGUAUAUCAUGUGUAUAUAUAUGUAUGUCUAUCAUGUGUGUGUCUACACACACACACACGUGAAUUUUAAUACUCUCCUGAAACAGGACAGUACCAUCAGUUUCAUACCACUCUGACAUGAAAAUGGCAUCAGGACAGGUGCCAAGUCGCUAAAACAGGUGAAAUUGGGAUGUGAAGCUGACUUGAUUGGUACUAACAAAUAUCAAGCCAGUAUAAAGCCAUCCUGAUUUGGAGAGAUUUCUUUUAUUUUUUAAAGAUGGGAACAGGAUGAACGGGCCAUUCCAAUCGAUACAAGGUUUAGCAUGUGCCAACGGAGAGUAAUUUUUCCGGAAGGUGGAGAACCAAUGUUAGUGGACCCAGAGUGAAGUAGGGAAGACAAAUUGAUCAGGUAUCAAACAUGGUACAAAAUCAUGCUAGAAAUAGAAUUUUUUGACUCAAUAAUGAAAGCAAGCAUGCAAAGAGUAUUCAACCACAAAGGUGAAAACUAAUACCAGCUCUAAUAAAAAAUCUCUAGGACUUUGGCCAAAAACCCCUAAAUUCCAUUUGCUCACAUGCUCAAUCAUGGGAUGAAAAUAAAAAUUAAAUAUUGAGCUGUCAAAGUUCCAACUGUGACUCUUUGGACUUUGCAUCCAUCUAUCUAAAUAGAUAUAGGUUUUGACCAUGAGUGCUUAAGGACUACAAAACAAAUCUAUUCCUUGUGAUAGAAAUAAUUAACUCCAAUAGUUGAUUGUAUUAUAAGACAACAAAUGCCAAUUAGAUCAAUACAGUAGACAAUCCAGUGAACUAUAAUUCAUUCCAUAUCCAUGUUGCACAUCAAAAAAGCAAAACAAGAUCGACUAAAUAUCCAUAUCACAUAUCAAAAUUCCAAAUAUUGAAAAACUAAAAAGGAAAAAAAAUCUCAAAUUUGUGUAUCAUUAUGCACCACCAUCCCAAGAUUUGGUAAGGUAUAAGUUAGUAUUGCACCAUUACCGGAAAAAACUGGUACCACCUUCAAUAUCCGUAUUUUGAUCCUAGUAGGUACACAAAUAUAUAUUUGCAUCAUCUCCUCAUUUCCACA
Molecule: long non-coding RNA, 1390 nt
Filed under: Elaeis guineensis (African oil palm)
Lineage: Eukaryota; Viridiplantae; Streptophyta; Magnoliopsida; Arecales; Arecaceae
Description: long non-coding RNA (EGUI_LNC065937)
Source: RNAcentral